Molecule: unclassified non-coding RNA, 200 nt
Filed under: soil metagenome
Description: partial contains internal transcribed spacer 2 and large subunit ribosomal RNA
Source: RNAcentral
UGCCGUGGAUAUCUAUGGCUCGUCUGAAAUGCUUCAGUGUACCCCGCAAUGCGGCGUAUUCGGUGUGAUACAUCUUCACCGGAGUUGAUCCUUUGUUGGGUCGCGUCUGUCAAUGUGUGGCUCUAUGCUUCGAACCGUCUUGAUAGGACAAUCUCUGACAAUUCGACCUCAAAUCGGGUGGGACUACCCGCUGAACUUAA